This is a non-coding RNA of Ataeniobius toweri, 77 nucleotides long. The record is from the annotation of a GenBank genome assembly. NCBI's taxonomy places the organism in Eukaryota, Metazoa, Chordata, Actinopteri, Cyprinodontiformes, Goodeidae.
GGAGGUGACUGUGGCUCAGUAGGUAGAGUAGUUGUCUUGCAAUCAAAAGGUGGUGGGUUCGAUUCCAGCGUUCUCCU